This 668-nucleotide ribosomal RNA is filed under the name Trypethelium eluteriae. Its description in RNAcentral is "SSU rRNA". It matches the Rfam family "Bacterial small subunit ribosomal RNA", at positions 509 to 1229 of the family's 1533-position model. Lineage: Eukaryota; Fungi; Ascomycota; Dothideomycetes; Trypetheliales; Trypetheliaceae. The record is from RNAcentral.
CAGCAGUCGCGGCAACACAAGGAAGACAAGUGUUAUUCAUCUUAAAUCGGUUUAAAGGGUACCUAGACGGUGAAUUAGGCCUUAAAUGGAACGUUUUUACUAGAGUUAUAUAUGCAUGAGGACUGUGUGAGUAUUACCAGAGUAGAGAUGUAAUUUUUUGAUACUGUUAAGACUGGUAAAGGCAAAAGCAAACCUUUAUAUAUUAACUGACGUUGAGGGACGAAGGCUUGGGGCGCAAACAGGAUUAGAUACCCCAGUAGUCCAGGCAGAGAAUUAUGAAUGUCAUAGAAUAGAUAUAAUAUUUAUCCUAUAAAUGAAAGUGUAAGCAUUCCACCUCAAGAGUAAUGUGGCAACGCAGGAACUGAAAUCAUUAGACCGUUUCUGAUACCAGUAGUGAAGUAUGUCGUUCAAUUUGUUAACCCUCAAAAAACCUUACCACAAUUUGAAUAUAUUUAAUAGAUAUAUAUUUUUUAUAUCUUUAUUUAUACAAGCGUUGCAUUGUUGUCUUCAGUUAAUGUUGUGAGAUUUUGGUUAGAUUCAUUAAAUUAACGUAAUCCUAUAUUCUAUUUAAAUAUUAAUAGAUUAGUUCACCGCUAUAUUGGAUAUUGAUAACCGGGAGUAGACUAGGCGUAAUGACCUUAAUAUUGUGGGCAAUGAGACGUGCCACA